This 234-nucleotide unclassified non-coding RNA is filed under the name fungal sp. RNAcentral describes it as "partial internal transcribed spacer region". The stretch from base 1 to 46 matches the Rfam family "Eukaryotic small subunit ribosomal RNA", at positions 1786 to 1831 of the family's 1831-position model. Lineage: Eukaryota; Fungi. The record is from RNAcentral.
AAGUCGUAACAAGGUUUCCGUAGGUGAACCUGCGGAAGGAUCAUUAGUGAAUAUUAGCGCAUCUCUUCGGAGAGCGUGACCUCCACUUUAUAACUCUGUGCAUUUAUUGGCGGAAACUGUACUUUGAGACUUUAUGUCUCUCUUGCAGCUCUGCGGCUCAUUUUAAACACUAGUAAAAGUAUGUAACGAAAUAUCGAAACAAAAAAAAACUUUCAACAACGGAUCUCUUGGCUU